Molecule: ribosomal RNA, 1180 nt
Filed under: Xenorhabdus mauleonii
Lineage: Bacteria; Pseudomonadati; Pseudomonadota; Gammaproteobacteria; Enterobacterales; Morganellaceae
Description: bacterial LSU rRNA
Rfam family: Bacterial large subunit ribosomal RNA
Source: RNAcentral
GACGUGCUCCCGGAGCCGAGGCCAGUCGCAGAUACCAGCUGGCUGCAACUGUUUAAUAAAAACACAGCACUGUGCAAACACGAAAGUGGACGUAUACGGUGUGACGCCUGCCCGGUGCUGGAAGGUUAAUUGAUGGGGUUAGCGGCAACGCGAAGCUCUUGAUCGAAGCCCCAGUAAACGGCGGCCGUAACUAUAACGGUCCUAAGGUAGCGAAAUUCCUUGUCGGGUAAGUUCCGACCUGCACGAAUGGCGUAAUGAUGGCCAGGCUGUCUCCACCCGAGACUCAGUGAAAUUGAACUCGCUGUGAAGAUGCAGUGUACCCGCGGCAAGACGGAAAGACCCCGUGAACCUUUACUAUAGCUUGACACUGAACCUUGAGCCUUGAUGUGUAGGAUAGGUGGGAGGCUUUGAAGUGUGGACGCCAGUCUGCAUGGAGCCAUCCUUGAAAUACCACCCUUGAAUGUUUGAUGUUCUAACGUAGGCCCGUUAUCCGGGUUGCGGACAGUGUCUGGUGGGUAGUUUGACUGGGGCGGUCUCCUCCCAAAGCGUAACGGAGGAGCACGAAGGUUAGCUAAUCACGGUCGGACAUCGUGAGGUUAGUGCAAAGGCAUAAGCUAGCUUGACUGCGAGAGUGACGGCUCGAGCAGGUACGAAAGUAGGUCUUAGUGAUCCGGUGGUUCUGAAUGGAAGGGCCAUCGCUCAACGGAUAAAAGGUACUCCGGGGAUAACAGGCUGAUACCGCCCAAGAGUUCAUAUCGACGGCGGUGUUUGGCACCUCGAUGUCGGCUCAUCACAUCCUGGGGCUGAAGUAGGUCCCAAGGGUACGGCUGUUCGCCGUUUAAAGUGGUACGCGAGCUGGGUUUAGAACGUCGUGAGACAGUUCGGUCCCUAUCUGCCGUGGGCGUUGGAAGAUUGAAAGGGGCUGCUCCUAGUACGAGAGGACCGGAGUGGACGCACCACUGGUGUUCGGGUUGUCAUGCCAAUGGCACUGCCCGGUAGCUAAGUGCGGAAGAGAUAACCGCUGAAAGCAUCUAAGCGGGAAACUUGCCUUGAGAUGAGUCUUCCCUUGUCCCUUGAGGACACUGAAGGAGCGUUCGAGACGAGGACGUGGAUAGGCUGGGUGUGUAAGCGUUGCGAGACGUUGAGCUAACCAGUACUAAUGAACCGUGAGGCUUAACCU